Molecule: long non-coding RNA, 681 nt
Organism: Podarcis raffonei (Aeolian wall lizard)
Lineage: Eukaryota; Metazoa; Chordata; Lepidosauria; Squamata; Lacertidae
Exons: 2
Source: RefSeq, a predicted model, not a curated record
UUUAUCUCCUUCUUGUUCCAAAAUCUCCCAAUAUUUCGGCCAUUUGGCCUCCAUAUUGAGCUUUUUCUGAGCCUUCGCUUCCAUCAGUGAUAGCCACCUUGGGGUUUUAUUUUCAAGUAAGUCUUUAUAUCUUAUCCAGACAUUGAACAAUGCUUUCCUGACAAUAUGGUUUUUAAAUGCUUUAUGUGCUUUGACCUUCUGAUUCAUAGUAAAGUUUAAGGUCUGGCAGGGCAAAUCCACCUCUUUCUUUUGCAUCAGUUAGUAUUUUAAAUUUUAUUCUGGGCUUCUUGCCCUGCCAGACAAAUCUAGAAAUAUCUCUCUGCCAAUUCUUGAAUCAGUCCAUUUUGUCCAAAAUUUGCAAUGAUUGAAACAAAAACAACAUUCUUGGCAAUACAUUCAUUUUUAUAGCAGCAAUACGGCCUAGCAAGGAAAGCUUCAAAUUUGACCAUAUUUCUAAAUCCUUUUUCACUUCUGACCAACAUUUUUCAUAGUUAUCUUUAAAUAAAUUCAAGUUCUUAGCGGUCAUAUUAACCCCCAGGUAUUUUACUUUCUUGACCAAUGUUAAACCUGUAUCCGUCUGAAACCUCUCUUUCUCAAUCGGUGUUAGAUUUUUCUCUAGAACCUUAGUUUUUAACUUAUUCAACUUAAAUCCUGCAACCUGACCAAAUUCUUGAAUCAAUU